UGGGGAAUUUUGGACAAUGGGGGCAACCCUGAUCCAGCAAUGCCGCGUGUGUGAAGAAGGCCUUCGGGUUGUAAAGCACUUUUGUCCGGAAAGAAAACGCCGUGGUUAAUACCCGUGGCGGAUGACGGUACCGGAAGAAUAAGCACCGGCUAACUACGUGCCAGCAGCCGCGGUAAUACGUAGGGUGCAAGCGUUAAUCGGAAUUACUGGGCGUAAAGCGUGCGCAGGCGGUCCGCUAAGACAGAUGUGAAAUCCCCGGGCUUAACCUGGGAACUGCAUUUGUGACUGGCGGGCUAGAGUAUGGCAGAGGGGGGUAGAAUUCCACGUGUAGCAGUGAAAUGCGUAGAGAUGUGGAGGAAUACCGAUGGCGAAGGCAGCCCCCUGGGCCAAUACUGACGCUCAUGCACGAAAGCGUGGGGGAGCAAACAGGAUUAGAUACCCUGGUAGUCCACGCCCUAAACGAUGUCAACUAGUUGUCGGGUCCUCAUUGACUUGGUAACGUAGCUAACGCGUGAAGUUGACCGCCUGGGGAGUACGGUCGCAAGAUUAAAACU
RNAcentral lists this ribosomal RNA (554 nucleotides) under uncultured bacterium. RNAcentral's name for it is "partial 16S ribosomal RNA". It matches the Rfam family "Bacterial small subunit ribosomal RNA", at positions 355 to 901 of the family's 1533-position model. The record is from RNAcentral.